RNAcentral lists this ribosomal RNA (253 nucleotides) under uncultured bacterium. RNAcentral describes it as "partial 16S ribosomal RNA". It matches the Rfam family "Bacterial small subunit ribosomal RNA", at positions 524 to 776 of the family's 1533-position model. The record is from RNAcentral.
GACGAACCGUGCGACCGUUAUUCGGAAUCACUGGGCUUAAAGGGCGCGUAGGCGGGCCCGCAAGUCAGGGGUGAAAUCCCACGGCUCAACCGUGGAAGUGCCUUUGAUACUGCGGGCCUGGAGGGAGGUAGGGGCGUGCGGAACUUCCGGUGGAGCGGUGAAAUGCGCAGAUAUCGGAAGGAACACCGGUGGCGAAAGCGGCGCGCUGGACCUCUACUGACGCUGAGGCGCGAAAGCCAGGGGAGCAAACGGG